GGGGCUGUGGCUCAAUGGUAAAGCAUCUGCUUAGCAUGCAGAAGGUCCUAGGUUCAAUCCCUAGCACCUCCA
This is a non-coding RNA of Euleptes europaea (tarantolino), 72 nucleotides long. The record is from the annotation of a RefSeq genome assembly. Lineage: Eukaryota; Metazoa; Chordata; Lepidosauria; Squamata; Sphaerodactylidae.